Long non-coding RNA from Nannospalax galili (Upper Galilee mountains blind mole rat), 1240 nucleotides. RefSeq lists it as uncharacterized. The transcript has 2 exons. The record is from RefSeq and is a predicted model, not a curated record. NCBI's taxonomy places the organism in Eukaryota, Metazoa, Chordata, Mammalia, Rodentia, Spalacidae.
GGGAUAGGAUGUACAGCCGAAUCUCCAAACUUCACUGAUGAACCAGCAAGGAUCUUCUAAGUCUAUAGAAGUUGUAGAGAAAGCAAGCGGGCCAAGGAGAGACUGAGGCCCAGAUGGAGGGUUUGGAGGAGGGAGAAUAUCCCAGGGCAGAGACCUUAGAACUGCGGAGAGAGCUAAAUGGCUGAAAUUUCAGGAAAAUCCCAAACUUAGGCUCUCAGAAAUGUCUAUUAAAUAUAAGUUAAUAUCUAAAAUUCUUUAUCAAACAGAAACUCUUCUACAAAUAUAACACUGGAGCCCUACCAAGAAUUUCUGGGACUGGAAAUUGCAGUUUUCUAUUUCUGAUGUCUUCAGCCCUUUGGCUUUGUUGGACAAAAGCGUAUUUGUGCUGUCCCUGGGAGGCCCUGGCUUUGGGGUGGAGGCAAGGCUGAUGAGUGGGAGGGCUCUGUUCUGGGGUGCUGUCUUUUCAUAAUGAGCAGACCUCUCAUAUUCAGUGUGAUUUAGUGACUCAAAGUGGACCUGCCCUCAAAAAACUUCUCCACUUAACUUUCUAGUGACUAAAUGACGUAACUUUGUUAAGCCAAGCAUCAUCUUUAGUAUUUGUUAAAAUAAAACUAUUUCUGACUGUAGCCAGUUGGUUACUUACAUCUUGGUUUAAAUGAGUUUAUUUGACUCUUUCUUCACACAGGAGGUUUGGUGGAGCGGGUGGUGGUUGGGUAGUAGAGUCAGUAGGUGAAUGGGUGCCCUCUGACCCAGAUACUCUGAGUGUAGAGUACCACUCUGCAAGUCUGUUUCCUUGUCUGUAAUUUGGCACUGACAUGUCAUUGGGCUGAUGACCUUGGCGAAUGGCUUCAAGGCCACAAUUCCCAGGGGAAGCUGUCUCCUCAAAAGGAUGCUGAAGAUGAAGACAUACUCUUCGUGGAGGAGUCUGUUGCCUUCCCUCUUCCUCUGGGAGAUACUACAUAGCUUCUAGCCUCCUUUGCAGGAUCUUCCAGGAGGGAAAGCAGGAGAGUUGUGAACCAGGGACCUGGAGAAAAAUCCAGACCAUCCUCCACAGGCUUGGUAAUCCCCUGUUGCAAGAUGUACCUGGAUUUCAACCUGGAAGGUCAAGCUGAUCACUGUGCAGUGAUCAGGGCUCCAGCAUCCUACAAUAUUUCUGUGAAUAUUCUGAAAAUGGAGAUUUCCCCACCCCAUGUGAAAUGGGGAUAUGGUUUGGCUAUUAAACUGACUUUUUUUCAUUGAC